UAGACAGAAAUUUUACUAGGUCACAUGGCACGCAUAGCGGCAAUGGAAAAGAAGCUGGCGGCCAUGGAUUUCUCUUCUCGGAUCAUUUUCAACAAAGAUAUUCUGUUAGAGAAAUAUUAAGCAGUACCAUAAAAAUUGCUAAAAAAAAAUUUUUUUAAUUGUUUACCAUUUUAGACACAUAUUCGAAGGGUAAUCAAAGAAUCUACCUUUUCACCAAAAGUUCAGCUCUUCAAAAACUUAGAGGCUAAUGAAGUUCUUCUAUAUUACUGUGGACGGAAAUUGCUUCGAAAUUGGGUUGGAGAGGAAAAUUUGGCAAUUGUAGGUAUUUUUUAUUCAAAGUAUGUAUAAUUAUGGUAUAGUUAUCGUAUAUUUCUAUGACUCAACCUGCAUUUCUGCCUAAAGACAAGUGUACUAAAUAAUUUCUAGACAGAAAUUUUACUAGGUCACAUGGCACGCAUAGCGGCAAUGGAAAAGAAGCUGGCGACCAUGAAUUUCUCUUCUAGGCUCAUUUUCAACAAAGAUAUUCUGUUACCUUUAGAGAAAUAUUAAGCAGUACCAUAAAAAUUCCUAAAUAAUUUUUUUUAAAUUGUUUCCCAUUUUAGACUCAUAUUCGAAGGGUAAUCAAGGAAUCUACCUUUUCACCAAAAGUUCAGCUCUUCAAAAACUUAGAGCCUAAUGAAGUCCUUCUACAUUACUGUGGACGGAAAUUGCUUCGAAAUUAGGUUGGAGAAAAAAAAAUUUGGCCGUGGUAAGUAUUCUUCAUUUAAAGUUUGUAUAAUUAUGGUAUAGUUAUCAUAUAAUUCUAUGACCCAACCUGGAUUUCUACUUAAAGACAAGUGUACUGAUUUUAUGUUAUUCCUAGACAGGGAUUCUACUUGGUCACAUGGUACGGAUAACAAAAGGGAAAGGAAGCUGAAAGCAAGGGAAAGGAAGCUGACAGCAAGGGAAAGGAAGCUGACAGCAAGGGAAAGGAAGCUGACAGCAAGGGAAAGGAAGCUGACAGCAAGGGAAAGGAAGCUGACAGCAAGGGAAAGGAAGCUGACAGCAAGGGAAAGGAAGCUGACAGCAAGGGAAAGGAAGCUGACAGCAAGGGAAAGGAAGCUGACAGCAAGGGAAAGGAAGCUGACAGCCAUGGAUUUCACUUCCAGGGGCAUUUUCAAAAAACAUUUAGGUUUACCAGAGGUAAAUUUAAUGGAUAUCUUAUCCAUCGAGUUUGAUAUCAAAGUCAAAUGAAUUAAAUCCUAUUUUUUCCUAUUUGAAAUUAUACAAUUUGAAAAGCUAACCCUGAAUCAUAUUUCUUCCAGAUUUUAGCAUAUUUGGUCAGUGGCCAAGAGUGAAUAACUCCUGCACGUGCAUGGGAAAUUCUUGUAAGCUGCAUAGGUUUUUUAAGAUUACUUAAAACGAUAUAUUAGCUUGAAAUUAAUAUUUAUGGGGAAGAUACAGAACAAAAACCUAGAUGUUAACAAUGUAAAGAAGAAAAAGGAGCUCUCAUGUGCAUUUGUAAUUGAUAAUUUUUAUCAAUAUUAUUUACAUAAAUAGUGGUUACCAUUGAUUGGCCUUCUACUUGGUCACAUGGUACGGAUAACAAAAGGGAAAGGAAGCUGAAAGCAAGGGAAAGGAAGCUGACAGCAAGGGAAAGGAAGCUGACAGCAAGGGAAAGGAAGCUGACAGCAAGGGAAAGGAAGCUGACAGCAAGGGAAAGGAAGCUGACAGACAGCAAGGGAAAGGAAGCUGACAGCCAUGGAUUUCACUUCCAGGGGCAUUUUCAAAAAACAUUUAGGUUUACCAGAGAUUUUAGCAUAUUUGGUCAGCGGCCAAGAGUGAAUAACUCCUGCGCGUGCAUGGGAAAUAUUGAAAAACCACCGCGUUUGCAUCAAGAUCCUUAAGUGGAACUUCUAUAAAUCUAUCAGGUAAUGUGUUUCUAAAAUAUUGUUUGUC
Molecule: non-coding RNA, 1938 nt
Organism: Rhopilema esculentum
Lineage: Eukaryota; Metazoa; Cnidaria; Scyphozoa; Rhizostomeae; Rhizostomatidae
Source: RefSeq, a predicted model, not a curated record